CUCUGUGAAUCAUUCUAGUUAUUCUGCAAAUGAUGAUCAUCUAGACUGGUUAAAUACGAAGUUUGUUCAAUAUAUUUUGGAUUGGCAAGUAGUAAACGUUUAAAGAGGUUGGGUAUGGUGUGAAUGUGAUAUGGCAAUGAAAAGCGAUAAAACAAAAUAAGGUGGUAACACUUCUUACGGCAC
Ciona intestinalis (vase tunicate) is the source of this 183-nucleotide non-coding RNA. The record is from RefSeq and is a predicted model, not a curated record. Lineage: Eukaryota; Metazoa; Chordata; Ascidiacea; Phlebobranchia; Cionidae.